Monodelphis domestica (gray short-tailed opossum) is the source of this 8412-nucleotide long non-coding RNA. RefSeq lists it as uncharacterized. Lineage: Eukaryota; Metazoa; Chordata; Mammalia; Didelphimorphia; Didelphidae. The record is from RefSeq and is a predicted model, not a curated record.
CAAUACAUACAACCCAAACAAUAUAUAGACACUUACCUUGGGUGGUUUUCUUGAUGAUAGGAACAAAAAUUCAGUAGCAGUCGGAGGAUUUUCAGCACAGCCACCAUAUCAGAGGGAAAGAAAAGAGAAAUAAAAGAAACACAAGGGGUGACAUAUAGUUUUGAAUCACAGGACAGUAUUAUCACUAAAGAAACAAAUUUGCAGUUGAUCCAGAGGGCAACACAGACACAUGCUGAGUGCAAGUGGACUGCAGAAUAUUCACAAGAAUAUGUUAAGAAAUGAUCUUCAAGAACAUUUUGCCAUGGGCCAGAAGACAAACCAUUCCUGGAACUAUCCUGUUAUCCUGGGCACAUUUAUUUCCUCAUCUUCCAAAGAUCUCCCCUCAAUCACAGAUUCCAGAUCUGACCCUACUCCCCUCCUACAAUUAUUUUAUGUCCACAUUUGCUGCUGUUGGUAGUCACUAUUCCCUUCACAUUCAUGUUUGUCUGUUUUUUUCUGCCACCAAUGAUAAGGUAAGAAGCAGCAGCAAAUGAGGUAAGAAAAUGGGGAAGAGCCAAUGAUGUGGUCAUAACAAGAAAAAAAGGAAUAUAGUCAAGUUACCAUGAAAAAAUAGGUAAAAAUCUAUUUGAUUGUCUACAUGGGUGAAUUUAUACAAAUAUGUUUAGAAGAAACAUACACAAAUUUAGAGAAAGGCAUAUAUGUGUGUGAUUUAUGUAUACAAGUCUAUGUAUAUAUGCACAUAGAUCAGAGACCACUUAAUUCAAUUUCUUCAUUAUUCUAAUGAAAAAACUGAGACUCUGAGGGAUUAAAUUACUUGCCUAAGGUCACACAGGCUCUAAGUGAAUCUUCUAUUAAAAUCCUACUAAGACUCCUCAUUACAACACGGAAAUGAUACCGGGUUCUCUUAGACUGCCGAUAAGAGUCCAAAUUCUUGAAAAUUUGCAAAAAUGAUCAAACUGGAAACAUUUCAAGUUUAAGCCCAAUGGCACACUACAUGUCCACCUUCUGAGAAACAAUCUAGAUAAAUUUUUAGAGUUUUGUUGGUAAAACGGUGGUCACCAAAUGAAUUUUUUGCAAUGGCAACUAAUGAAAUCCAAAUGAACUGCAAGCUACAUUAGUGAAAAAGUAUACAUGAUGAUAAAAUAAUAGAUCUGCCAAUGUAUCCUAGUAUGAUUCUUUAAAUAGAAUUUUUUACGUAGGAGGAACCUUCUCUACUCUAACUCUUAACUACCUUCCACCCUGAAAAUUUAGAAACUGGAACCUAGAAGGUCUAUGACAUAGACAAGAUCAUUCAGUCACUCACUGGCAAAACUGAUACCAAAACAAAAACAAUGCCCAUUUAUAAAAGCAUAUUGAGUUUACAUCUCAGUGAGUUAAAUAAUUCAAAUAUCUUCUUCUAUAGAUAAGGAAAUUGAGAGUCUGUGAAAUUAAGGGACCUCAUAUUAGUUUAGAUAUCUAGUAAGUAUUUGAGGAAAGGGGAAGGGGCACGGCCUGUGGUCUCCAGGGAGUGGGGUGAGGGCAGGGUUUGGGACUGGAUCGCUAAAGAGUUCACCAUCACUGGCCUAGCCCUUACUACUCUUCUACCUUGGAAUUGAUAUUUAUAUUUAUUUAUAUACAUAUAUAUUUAUUUAUAUAUAUUUAUAUCAAUUCCAAGACAGAAGGUAAGGUUUUUAAAAAAAAAGUUUAGGCCCAUUCAGCUAGACUGCAUCUAAAACUAAGGUCCAACUUCUGAAAUCUCUAUAGAUAUCAGGGCUUUCCCAAAUAACCAUUCUCAGGAUUGUACAACUGUGAAGUCAACUGUUCUUAGGGUUCUGAUCAAAAUUUAGACAUACAGGGCAACAGCAGAAGGCAGGAGAAGGAGAGAGUCAAAUAAAAGAUGCAGAGACCCAGAAACAUGCACAGGGAUACAAAGUGACAGUGACAGACAGAAUGGCAAAGAAAGUAACAGAGUACUCCCUAAUAGUAAAGAUAGGGAUCUUAGAGAUCACCUGAUUCACUUUAACAAUUGAUUCAUUUUAACAAUGAUAAAACAAAGGUUGGUUUGGGAAAAGUAUCUUUUUUCAACAAAAUAAAACCACUUAUAAAGAAGCUCCCCCUCCAAAAAAGGAAAAGAUCCUUAAACUUUCAAGCAACAACUUAAGCUCUUUUUUAAAAAAUGAAAUGAAGACUAGCUACUUAUAAAUUAGAUUCAAUCUCAAAACUAUCAUUGCAUGAAUAGCAUCUAGUCUUUACCAUAACCAUGUUUUUCUGUAAUUGUCAUAAAACACAACCACUAAUAGUGAUUCGUAGUCAUAACAUUUUAAUCUGUGUGAGCUUAUAAAAUAGUGAUUUGCUCAUUAAUUUGGAAUGAAACACUCCAUAAAUUACACUACAGUGGGAAUUCAGAGGCAAACUGCCAGGUCACAUUGGAUUUAAAAUUUAACUCAAUAGAUUACGAAAACAUCACCACAAGCACUUCCAACUUUUUCCUUUUUAGAGGGAGUGAGGGUCUAGACCCAUCACUUCAUGGUAUGGAGCAAGUUUUGGAAAAAGAAACUCAGUCUCCCAAUGCAAAUGAAUAACUCUUGCACAUCUUAGUCUUAAAGAGUUGUCCUUAGCACAGGAAGAUUAGUAAUCAAGAAGUACAAAGCAUUAAACGACUUGAAGAUCUAUUCAUGGAUGUAAUAUGAAAUGUCUUAAGAGCACAUUUGCAGGGAAAAAUAUUAGAACAUGUCAGGCCUAUUUAUUGAUUUCUGGAUACAUUUCCUCAACUACACUGUAACCAUCCUGUGGCUAAGCUACAUCAUCUCAUAUUCUUUGAUGCCUCUAGUAUCUAAACUGUUAGACAUGGUCUCAAAUAUUUUUUCAUUGAUUAAUUUUGAAGUUUGCCAAAUCUCUGCUUGGUAUUUCCACCUCAAUAUCCCAUAGUCAGCAAAAAAGCAUGUCCAAAAAGGAAUUCAACAACUUCCCUCCCAAAUUUUCUACUAUAAUCAAAGAACCAUCAUCUUCCCAGUUGCCUAGGUUCACAGCCUCAAAGUCCUCCUUAAACUCUUUUCUUUCAUUCACUCCACAUAUCCAAAAAGUUUUCAAGCUGUAAGAAUUGGAAUAAUAUUUCUACCCAGAUAUAUAUUUUAUAAAGUUUAUUGGAAAGGGUAGACAAUUAUUCCCCUAAGUAACCUGACCCUGUGGUGCCUAGCCUGCAUGCCUCUUUCCUCCUUCCCUUCCUCACCUGCCUGCUCUGUUCCUGACCUCCCUUCUUUGGUCUCUUCUCUAUUCUUCCCCAAUUCCCUCUUGAUUCUCCCCCUAAGAAGCCCCAAACCUUGACCUUUAUUGAAGCACAGCACCUUGACCUGUGCUUCAACCAUCAACUGUGGUAUGUCAGGAAUGUUUGAUAAACAGGUAAAGCUCCUCAGGAGAGGGAGGGGAUAAAACUUCCUUGACACAAAGUCUUGUCAAUUCUACCUCCACAACAUUUCUGAUGUUAGCUUUCCACUAACAGCAUAGCUCUAGUCCAGUCUUCUAUCAUCUUGGACCAAGACUACUAACACAACAGCCUUCUCUUACAAGGCAAAGCAAUUUAUCAUAUCACUAAUUAGCACUUAAAAGAUCCAUUGACCCAACUAAUUGCCCUAAGCCAUAACUUUUUGAUGAUGCUAUUGAGUUUUAUAACAGUUUUAAAAGUUGUUAUGAUUAGAAUGGAUGACCUUAAAGAUGCUAUUCUACCACCAUCCUUAUUUUACAGAGAAGGAAACUGUGGACCAAAGAGGAAAAAGUGACUCUUUCAAGGCCACACAGCUAAAUGACUCAAACCAACUAUUUCAUCAUUAGAUAAUAGUUAAUAAAUUUGUCAAUCAGUUGAUGCAGACUAUUUUAUUGAAUUUUCCCAGCAAUGAAUCUUAAUCUCAUCACAUCACAACUUUCCACAACUUGCCUGCCCUGUCUCACAAUCUAUGGCUCUAUUCUACACAAAUAUGUCAUUUAAAUUUCAAGAAGUUUUCAAGGUUUCCCCCCACCAUUUUAAGGUAACCACUAUCUGUUAAAUUUUUCAUAAUACUAAAAUGUAAUUAGUGACAAAAAAAGAAAAGCAACUAAAGAGAGAAAAGAAUGUACCCAAACAAAUAAAAAUAUUAUACUUAUAUCAUUACCCCAAAAAUUUGCCACAUAACUGAGAAAACAAACAUACUACUGUAAGUAUCCCUGUAAUGUAAGCCCUAACAUGCUUUCAGUGUAACUGGGAUAAUAAGUAGGUAAACACAAUAAGUAUCAAUUCUGAGAACUUGUAACAGUUAACCACAGAAGUUAAGUACAUCUAAAAGCUUGUUAAUCUAUUCAACAAACUACUUGUGGGUUUAUUGUUUGUGAUGCUUCUAUGAUUUGAGAUAAAUUGCAUCUGAACUGAACUUGGAAAUGGCAUUUUCAGAUAGUUCAAUGGCAUUUGGUCUUCCUGAUUUUCCAUCUGAGGCUCUCUGAAUGUGAACUACAUGAAUAUGCGGUCAUUUAGGGCAGGGUUCUAAAUUAGGGAGUGUCUCCUCAAGACAACACAAAGAGCCAAGAGCAAAAGAUAUGCUUCCCUUUCCUCAAAGGCUUCCUUCCUGUUCCCUGACUUAAAGUCUCCAAUCUUCUUCCUCUGGAGGGAAUUACAAACAGGCUCCUCCUUUCAGUUACAGAAUUCACCCACCUACACACCAGAGUUGGCAAGGCUGGGUUGGGCAGGGCAAAUAAACACUACUGGGGAUUUCUGUACUUUGAUUUUGUUUCCUAAUAUUUAAAGGACACCACUAGAGGUCUUGCAUGGAGCAAACCCCAGCAGCAAACAUGGUGAAUCCCAAAUACAUACUUUUAACUGAAGGUAGAAAGAGUUUAGGGAGAAUAAACAUUUUAUAUGGUCACAUUUCAGACAGGAAACAAAUUUCCAAACAAAGACUUGUGCUGGAAAUGUCAUUUCUCUAUUGUCAAAUAUUCAUAUUUAUUUCAUAAAUCAGUUGUACUAUAAGGAUUAGGUUUGGGGUUAGUUGUUAAUCUCUAGUUCACAAAAAGAAUAGCACUGUACAACAGGAAAUCUAACUGAAAGGAGGUCAAAAUCAGAUCACCCUGAUUAUUUUCUAAAGGGUCAGGAAACAGUUGCUGUCCUGCUAUUCUUUCAUUCACUAUUUAAGACAGGCAAUAUUUAAAAUGACUGCAUCCUAGAUUCUUUGUUUGACUGACAAUCCCUUCAGAGAUUUGGAAGUUUCACACAUCUGCCCAGUUUCACUCAAAGGCUCCUUGUGCUUUCAGUCUUAAGAACCAGUUACUUCAAGAAAACAAGAGAUACCCUUGCAGUAACUUAUCCCCAUCUCUCUAAAUGUAUUAACAAAAGGUAAAUCAAAAUGCAAAGUAUUUCAGCAACUAAAAUGUUACCUCCUUAUUCUCCAGUUGAAUCACAACCCUAUCUCAUUUUAUACCUUAAUCUAAAAAUUCCCAAUAUUCAUUUGAUAUAUUGUGGUUUAUAUUAUUCAACUUUACACUAGACCUGGCAAACAAGUUGGCUGGUUUUGUUCAAUUACUUUCCUCUCUCUUCUCCUCUGAUUUAUUAUAAGGGAUGGCUCUCUAAAUGAGGAAAAGGUAAAGAAAGGAUAUGCUAGGAAAUUAAAGCAAUGUAAAAAUAAAAGCAUUAAUAAAAACAAAGUGAGGGUAUUCAAUUGUGCCGAUGGAUCUACAAGGAAAACUCGGUUUAAAAAAAGGUCACCUAAUCAACCAACUUACUGAAUGCUUAACUCCCACCUAGUUCUAUCUAGCUCAUGGUAGCACAUAAACGCAUUUAAACAAGAAUGAAAUUUGGAUUUGAAAUCCAGUUCAACCACUAGCUAUGUAACACUAGGAAAAUAACUUCCCCUAACUGGAACUCAAUUUACUUAUAUGUAAAAUAAUGGGGUUGUAUUAGAUGAUAUCUAAAAUCUAAGUUUUCAUAUAAAGAGCUAUGCUAUAAUUUUAUCAAUGUGAGAAACUCCUACUGAUAGAUUGGAACCUGUAUAGAACCUUUUAAAUUAUUUCUGAAGAAAUCCUUAAGGCAAUAGAAGUUAACUGAUUUACCCAGAGUAAACCACUUCUUUCUGACUCAAGUUCAGCACCCUUGUCCCCAAAAUCACCAUUUAGGAAAAUGACGCUUGUGGAAAAGAAGUUUGACAUCCUAGCCAUCAUCAACACCAAUGGCUGACUAACUGCCAUCAACGAAGCAGGCAAAUCAGUCUAUCUGAAGCAGAAAGAAACAGCUAGGGGGGGAUGGCAUGUACCGGAUGAACUAAACCACCACCACCUCCUCUCAGAUACUAAUGGAAAUAGGCCUGUACUCAAGAAACUAAGGACCCCAACCACUAGCCCUGCUUUUAACCAGAUAUCCUAUAGCCAUCACUGAAAGAAGCAACCCCUGAGGAAAAGGAAAACACCAGUUCUACCAACUAUACCUUAUAUGCUGGUAAGCCUAGGAUCCCAGAGAAAUCACAGUACCAUUCCCUCCUCAACCUUGACCUCCCCCGAAUCACUGGCUCUUUUUCCAGUCCAGCCCCAUCCCAGAUAUCUUUCAAGGAAGAUAUUCUUGUGGAGGUUCAACCUAACAAUUGCCUCUGUAAGCACACCUCAGCAAUGACAGCUACUGAAUACCAAGAAAAUACAGUUCUAGAUACCAAAGUCUUUGGUACUGUCAAACAAUGCAACACUAAAAAGAGACAUGACUUUAUUAAUAAAAACAACACUAAAGAUAUAUUACAACCAACUUUGUAGAUAUAUAUUUAUGACCAUUGUCUUUCCUUCUGCCCUACAACUGAUUCCUCCUUUCAAUAGUCUGUUAGAAUGGGAGAUAGUGAAAAGGAGAUACUGUUUUGCUUUUCUCUUUGAAUCCCCAGUACUUAGGGCUGUGUUUGAAAAGAGUAAACAUUUAAUAAAUGCUUUUUAAAAAUUCAUUCUAUCCACCAUUCAAUGUUUCCACUACCUAUGAAACUAUUAUUUAAAAUCAAAACAUCAUGUAAAACAUCAAAUAUAUACAACCCUAGGAAUUAUAAUAGUAUAUACAUUGAAGGAGUAACUAAGUGGUACAGUGGACAGAGCUCCAGGCAAGGAGUCUGCAAGACUAAACUUCCUGAGUACAAAUCUGGCCUCAGACACUUCCUAGUUGUAUGACCCUAGGCAAGUUACUUAACCCAAUUUGCCUUAGUUUCACCAUCUGUAAAAUGAGCUGGAAAAGGAAAUGACAGUAUCUGCCAAGAAAACCCUAAACUAAGUCACAAAGAGUUGGACAUGACUGAAAUAUGACCAACGAAAAGAAUUUUUUGAAGGUUUUUUUAAUACAAAGAUUUUUUCCAUGGUAUUCUAUGGAAAUCACAGAUGCAUUCAUACAACUCAUUUGACUGUGAUGUCUUUGGGUAGCUAGGUGGCACAGUGGAUAGAGUGCUAGGUAUGGAGUCAGAAAGACUUGAGUUCAAAUCCAGCCUCUGACACUAGCUAUAUGACUGUGGGUAAGUCACUUAACCAGCAUCUUUGCCAAAAAAACAACCCAAAUGGGAUCACAAAAAAUCAGAAACAACUGAAAAACAAUAAAUUUACAUUGACCGAUUUGGUUAGCUUGCAAUUUUCUUGACAUGAAUUAUCACAUUUGAUCCUCAGCAAUUUUGGGAGGUAUGCAAUUAGUAAGCACUACUACCUUUAUGGUAGAUAUGAGUAAAUAAAAGCUCCAAUAGGUUAAGAUUUGAUGGUAAGUGGCAGAGCUAAGAUUUGAAUCCAUAUUAAAUUGUUCAACAAGUAUGUAUAUGUCAUGGGAAAAUUAAUAGCUCCAAAUUCUAAUCUAGACCAUCACAAUCCCUUAGGAAUUGCCCACAGCAAGCUAAAUUAAGCCUUUCCCUCUGAAAGUUCUCACAGUUAAUUAUUACUUAACUAUUCCGAAGUUUAAAAAAUUAUUCAAUUUCAUUCAAAAAUGUAAUUUACAUUUUAUUAAAGAGCAUCCAAAGUAAAAAAUCCAAGUUAUAUUAUCCUUGGCAUUAAUCAAACUUCUAUGAAAAUUACUUACAAGAAAAUUCUUCAUCUAGAAACUCCUGGCAGUUCUCCCAUACUAAAGAAUUUUCAGGGAAAAAACUCAUCCAAAAUGGGAUGAAGUCCCAAGAUAUCUUUACUGACACUAUACCUUCAUUAUUUUCUGCUUGUACAGGAAAGCUACAAAGUGUCUUAGUCUGACAGAUUCCAAAUAGGGCCAUAAAAUCCAGUUAUGGACAUUCAAAUGUAGAAUAUCUUAGCCAAUGGCCAAUAUGAAAAAGUCUUUAUAUUGUUAUAAGCACCAUGUUGAAGGAAAAAAAGCAAAGUCAAAUUCCACAAGCAGAAAGGGAAUACCUUCUACAGUCAAUACUUAAUUAUUUGUACUAAUGGAGAUAAACAGUUGUGAAUAAAUCAGAAGCUAUGGAUAAUCUAAAA